GUUCUUCAUUGUGCAGAGGCAAGUGGGAAAAUGACUUUUGGCCGAAAGAAGCUCCUACAGUACCCUCUGACCCCACUGCUUUGGUGGCAAGCCAUGCAUAAGAGAAACUCCAGAGUAGUGAAAAGGGAGGAAUGCUGCCUUUCCCAACCAUGCACAAUUGAAACCAUGUACAAGAAACCAUGCACAUGCAGUGAGAAACAACUCAGAUUAACUUAG
RNAcentral lists this long non-coding RNA (216 nucleotides) under Salvator merianae (Argentine black and white tegu). Its description in RNAcentral is "lncRNA (ENSSMRG00000017484.1)". Lineage: Eukaryota; Metazoa; Chordata; Lepidosauria; Squamata; Teiidae. The record is from RNAcentral.